CCCAGACUCCUACGGGAGGCAGCAGUCGGGAAUAUUGCGCAAUGGAGGAAACUCUGACGCAGUGACGCCGCGUGCAGGAAGAAGGUUUUCGGAUUGUAAACUGCUUUAGACAGGGAAGAAACAAGACAGUACCUGUAGAAUAAGCUCCGGCUAACUACGUGCCAGCAGCCGCGGUAAUACGUAGGGGGCAAGCGUUGUCCGGAAUGACUGGGCGUAAAGGGAGUGUAGGCGGCCUUUUAAGUUAUAUGUGAAAGCCCCCGGCUUAACCGAGGAACUGCAUAUAAAACUGGAGGGCUGGAGUGCAGGAGAGGUAAGCGGAAUUUCUAGUGUAGCGGUGGAAUGCGUAGAUAUUAGGAAGAACACCGGAGGCGAAGGCGGCUUACUGGACUGUAACUGACGCUGGGGCUCGAAAGCGUGGGGAGCAAACAGGAUUAGAUACCCGUGUA
RNAcentral lists this ribosomal RNA (446 nucleotides) under uncultured bacterium. RNAcentral describes it as "bacterial SSU rRNA". It matches the Rfam family "Bacterial small subunit ribosomal RNA", at positions 330 to 792 of the family's 1533-position model. The record is from RNAcentral.